GAUGAACGCUGGCGGCGUGCCUAAUACAUGCAAGUCGAGCGAACAGACGAGGAGCUUGCUCCUCUGACGUUAGCGGCGGACGGGUGAGUAACACGUGGAUAACCUACCUAUAAGACUGGGAUAACUUCGGGAAACCGGAGCUAAUACCGGAUAAUAUAUUGAACCGCAUGGUUCAAUAGUGAAAGACGGUUUUGCUGUCACUUAUAGAUGGAUCCGCGCCGCAUUAGCUAGUUGGUAAGGUAACGGCUUACCAAGGCAACGAUGCGUAGCCGACCUGAGAGGGUGAUCGGCCACACUGGAACUGAGACACGGUCCAGACUCCUACGGGAGGCAGCAGUAGGGAAUCUUCCGCAAUGGGCGAAAGCCUGACGGAGCAACGCCGCGUGAGUGAUGAAGGUUUUCGGAUCGUAAAACUCUGUUAUUAGGGAAGAACAAAUGUGUAAGUAACUAUGCACGUCUUGACGGUACCUAAUCAGAAAGCCACGGCUAACUACGUG
Molecule: ribosomal RNA, 497 nt
Filed under: uncultured bacterium
Lineage: Bacteria
Description: partial 16S ribosomal RNA
Rfam family: Bacterial small subunit ribosomal RNA
Source: RNAcentral